Rosa rugosa (rugosa rose) is the source of this 450-nucleotide long non-coding RNA. RefSeq lists it as uncharacterized. The transcript is spliced from 3 exons. Lineage: Eukaryota; Viridiplantae; Streptophyta; Magnoliopsida; Rosales; Rosaceae. The record is from RefSeq and is a predicted model, not a curated record.
UUCUCACUCGAUCAACUUGCGAAACUGAAAACCUCAAAAACCAGCCUCUCUACUUCUCACUCCCAGCCUCUCUCAAAUCUCGAUUUUUACUCUCUCCUUCGUCUUCUUGCUCUCUCGAUUCUUCUUCUUAGUCUCUCCCUCUCAGAUUUCUUCUUCUCCUAAAAACCUCUCAGAGCCCAGCACCACCGCGAUGACCUCGACCCAGAUGGAGGACGCCGUACGACAUCGCACUGCCAUCAACGAUUACCUGAAGAGGUUACUCCAGCAUAAGGAGCUCCAAGUCCGCACAGUGUGAGAAAACUUGGGAGGAGCUAAGAAGGAUUUUGGGAAAAUUGAAGAUUACUUGAAGUCGCUUCAAAGUGUUUGUUAGAUUAUAGGGGAAGUUCUGAGACCUCUCAAUUAUGGACAAUUGAGUUGCAUGAUUAUGGUCCUCCAUUCUUCGCCGCCUAG